RNAcentral lists this ribosomal RNA (232 nucleotides) under uncultured bacterium. RNAcentral's name for it is "partial 16S ribosomal RNA". It matches the Rfam family "Bacterial small subunit ribosomal RNA", at positions 99 to 334 of the family's 1533-position model. The record is from RNAcentral.
CGGACGGGUGAGUAAUGUCUGGGAAACUGCCUGAUGGAGGGGGAUAACUACUAGAAACGGUAGCUAAUACCGCAUAACGUCGCAAGACCAAAGAGGGGGACCUUCGGGCCUCUUGCCAUCGGAUGUGCCCAGAUGGGAUUAGCUAGUAGGUGGGGUAACGGCUCACCUAGGCGACGAUCCCUAGCUGGUCUGAGAGGAUGACCAGCCACACUGGAACUGAGACACGGUCCAG